RNAcentral lists this ribosomal RNA (494 nucleotides) under uncultured bacterium. RNAcentral describes it as "partial 16S ribosomal RNA". It matches the Rfam family "Bacterial small subunit ribosomal RNA", at positions 28 to 507 of the family's 1533-position model. The record is from RNAcentral.
GACGAACGCUGGCGGCGUGCUUAACACAUGCAAGUCGAACGGAAAGGCCUGCUUUCCCUUGUGGAUUGCGGGUACUCGGGUGGCGAACGGGUGAGUAACACGUGAGUGAUCUGCCCCCAACUCGGGUAUAAGCCUGGGAAACUGGGUCUAAUUCCCGAUAGGACUGCAGGGUGGUGCCGGCCGUGGAAAACGAUUUUCUACUGGGUGGGGAUGAGCCGGCGGCCUAUCAGCUUGUUGGUGGGGCAAUGGCCUACCAAGGCGGCGACGGGUAGCCGGCCUGAGAGCGGGGACGGCGAAACUGGGACUGGGAUCCGGCCCCGACUGCAACGGGAGGCAGGGGUGGGGGAAAUUGGGCAGUAGGCGGGAGCCUGCUGCGGCGAGGCUGCGUGGGGGAUGACGGCCUUCGGGUGGUAAACUACUUUCGGCCAAGAGGAAGCCACGUAGUUGGAAGGGUGGUGACGGUACUGGUAGAAGAAGCACCGGCUAACUACGUG